UGAGUUGCAACUCAAUGUUAAAGUGCUUUCCUUGCAUGAAUGAGAUCCUGGGUUCAAUUCCCAGCACUACAA
This 72-nucleotide transfer RNA is filed under the name Marmota monax (woodchuck). It matches the Rfam family "tRNA". Rfam says of the family: Transfer RNA (tRNA) molecules are approximately 80 nucleotides in length. Their secondary structure includes four short double-helical elements and three loops (D, anti-codon, and T loops). Further hydrogen bonds mediate the characteristic L-shaped molecular structure. tRNAs have two regions of fundamental functional importance: the anti-codon, which is responsible for specific mRNA codon recognition, and the 3' end, to which the tRNAs corresponding amino acid is attached (by aminoacyl-tRNA synthetases). tRNAs cope with the degeneracy of the genetic code in two manners: having more than one tRNA (with a specific anti-codon) for a particular amino acid; and 'wobble' base-pairing, i.e. permitting non-standard base-pairing at the 3rd anti-codon position. Lineage: Eukaryota; Metazoa; Chordata; Mammalia; Rodentia; Sciuridae. The record is from Rfam by way of RNAcentral.